Non-coding RNA from Acanthosepion pharaonis, 97 nucleotides. Lineage: Eukaryota; Metazoa; Mollusca; Cephalopoda; Sepiida; Sepiidae. The record is from the annotation of a GenBank genome assembly.
GCUGAAACACUGGUUCUCAUACAAUUCGCAAAGUUAAGCAAUGCUGAGCCUGGUCAGUACCUAGAUGAGUCACCACUUGGGAAUGUCAAGUGCUGUG